RNAcentral lists this unclassified non-coding RNA (145 nucleotides) under soil metagenome. RNAcentral describes it as "partial internal transcribed spacer 1". The record is from RNAcentral.
UAAUAAGUGUUUUAUGGCACUUUUUAAAUCCAUAUCCACCUUGUGUGCAAUGUCGGUCGAUCUUCUUCUUGAGGAUUGACCAAACAUCAACCUUUAUCUUUUAACUCUUUGUCUGAAAAAUAUUAUGAAUAAACAAUUCAAAAUA